RNAcentral lists this ribosomal RNA (312 nucleotides) under uncultured bacterium. RNAcentral's name for it is "bacterial SSU rRNA". It matches the Rfam family "Bacterial small subunit ribosomal RNA", at positions 199 to 507 of the family's 1533-position model. The record is from RNAcentral.
CCGCAAGACCUCAUGCUCGUGGAGCGGCCGAUAUCUGAUUAGCUAGUUGGUAGGGUAAAAGCCUACCAAGGCAUCGAUCAGUAGCUGGUCUGAGAGGACGACCAGCCACACUGGGACUGAGACACGGCCCAGACUCCUACGGGAGGCAGCAGUGGGGAAUUUUGGACAAUGGGCGCAAGCCUGAUCCAGCAAUGCCGCGUGAGUGAAGAAGGCCUUCGGGUUGUAAAGCUCUUUUGUCAGGGAAGAAACGGGUUGAGCUAAUAUCUUGGCCUAAUGACGGUACCUGAAGAAUAAGCACCGGCUAACUACGUG